ACCGGGGAGGAGCCAGGAGAGCUCGGAGCAGUGAGAUUGCCCACUCCACCUCCACUCAAACUGGAAAGAAAGGAAAGAAAACUUCACAGUCCACACAGAGCUGAGGCCCAGGACUGGAUCAGACCCAACGAAUGAAGAUAUUAGCAUAUCUAAAGAAAGAAUGUCCGGCUGAAGGAGGGCCUGGGUCAGCCAGGGAAGGGAGGAAUGGGGAGUCUCUGAGGAUAAUAAUGCUGGUCUGGCCAUCCAAGUCCAGGACCAGUUCUGGACCAAGGGCUCAUCCCACCCACCUGGAGGCAGGUGCUCCUCUGUCCUGUAGGUGACACAUCAAGCUUUUCCCUGAGCUGUCCAAGGCAGAGGCUGGUCCUUCCUUCCAACUCCCCGCCAACCAAUCACCCUUCUAAAGACCAUCUGCUUUUCAUGGAGGCGCCCACAGGGUGGGAAGUCCAGGGUGAGGGGUGGGAGUGCUUGGUGCAAUUAUAUUGCUCAUUGUCACUUCAUAAAUUGCUCUUUUGGUUUGGUUGGUGUCCAUCCACCCUUCCUCCCAAAGCAGAAAGUCUCAACCUAGGACAAAACCCUAGACUGAGGUGGUUUCGGGAGGAUGAUGCCACCCCAGUGAAGCCCAAAACAGCCAGAAUGGCCUUCCCCAUCUGUCUCUCUUCUGGCUUCAGAAAGAGGGAGCACACAGACUGCCUCACAUGGACCUGUCCAUGCCCAAGCAAUGGAGCCUUGUGCUCACACUGACCCUACAGACAGGUCUUUGGCAACAGGCUUAGAAAGGCACUGUACUGGGGGGUGCAAGUAGACCCAGAGUUUUCUUUCAUCAGAAUAUUCUGAGGGAAAUCCACUCCACCACUCCUAGACUUUGAAAAACAUCUCAUGUUAAGAGAAUUAUCCUCUCAGUUGUGGGCAGCAAUCUGUGUGCUGUGUCCUUGCAUCCAGUCAUAAUUGUAACCACCUCUCUCUAUGGGGUCAGCUGUUUUUAUGUACGCGGACUCUGAGAAAAUUAGUUCCUUCCUUCGGUAGGAAAACGCAUUCUUUACUUAAAAUAAACUUGAUAUUUAUUUUACCCUAAA
Diceros bicornis minor is the source of this 1073-nucleotide long non-coding RNA. RefSeq lists it as uncharacterized. The record is from RefSeq and is a predicted model, not a curated record. NCBI's taxonomy places the organism in Eukaryota, Metazoa, Chordata, Mammalia, Perissodactyla, Rhinocerotidae. The transcript is spliced from 2 exons.